This 15848-nucleotide long non-coding RNA is filed under the name Gossypium barbadense (sea-island cotton). Its description in RNAcentral is "long non-coding RNA (GBAR_LNC019300)". Lineage: Eukaryota; Viridiplantae; Streptophyta; Magnoliopsida; Malvales; Malvaceae. The record is from RNAcentral.
AAAUAUCCAUCCUUGCCUGCACUUCAAAGUGGAAGCGAAGCUAGACCUGUCUACCUGCCAAUGGAGGUUUUUACUUUAUAUCAAGAUGAUCUUGUUUUUGUUUUCUUUUUGUUUGUUACUGAUUCUCUUGUAUGAUUUUGUUUUACAGCUUUGUAGUAUCGUUGAGGGUCAAAGAUACACAAAAAAACUAAAUGAACAACAAGUUAGAUCUCUGCUGAGAGCAACUUGUCAACGUCCGAACAUUAGGGAGGGGAAUAUUACAAAGGUACUACAGUUUUGGAUGCUUAUUAUUUUUUAAAUUUGUUGAUAAGAUGAGAAUUGUGAUUCAUUUGGCAUUUCAUGUUUCUGCAGAUGGUCCAGGUCAAUAAUUUUGAGGUGGAGGAGCUUGUUACUAAAGAAUUUGGAAUGCAUGUUCGCAAAGAACUUGCAUUGAUUAAUGCACGAGUUCUAAAUCCUCCAGUGGUACUUAUAUGCCAAUAUGUUAUAUUUUCAAGGAUAUUGUCCGUCUUAUAAUAAGAUUAAUGUCGGUUUUGGUUGCUGCAGCUAAAGUAUCACGAUAGUGGACGUGACAAAAUUGUUAAUCCUAGCUGUGGGCAAUGGAACAUGAUCAACAAGGUGAUUUUUUUUUCUUCCCCUCUUAUUCUUUGAAGUGGCAUUAUUUGUAAAAUUUAAGGAAUCAGACCUGUCUCUUCAGUCUCCUUGUUCCAGCGUUCUUGUUCAUUUUUUUUCAAUUCAUUUUUAAGGUUUGCAGCGUCUCUUCUCUGCAGUUUAGUGUAGCUGCAAGUCUUUUGGGAAAAUUUUGCUAGGUUUUAAGGUUCAACAUUUUUUUUUGCAGAAAAUGGUCAAUGGGGGUAAAGUUGAUUUCUGGUCUUGUGUGAACUUCUCCUCUGAAUAUUGGAAUAUGUCAGAAGACUUCUGUGCGGGGCUGGUGAAUAUGUGUAACAGCAAAGGAAUGGUAUGCUGUGUGGUUUUUUUAGUGUAGGUGGAUGGUACAUCUGUUAUUUAUUCAUCACUAGCUUGAUUUCCGAUUUUGUUACUCUAGGUGUUUCGCCAAACUCCUUCAAUUGCAAUGCGAUCAGCUCGUGCUGAUCGAAUUGAUCAGACUCUCAUGGAUGUAUACAAAGAGUCUGCAGGCUUGAAUAAGCCACUUCAGUUGUUGAUAAUUAUCUUACCUGAUCAGACUGGCUCUUAUGGUAAGAAAUUCUGAUGUUUUGUAAAUAGGUAAUUCCUGGGUUGUCUUUGCGCGACUCAAAUCUUUUUGUUUGCAGGAAAAAUAAAGCGAAUUUGUGAGACGGAGCUAGGUAUUGUUUCACAAUGUUGUAAGCCUGUGCAAGCUUCAAAGUUCAGCAACCAAUAUUUUGAAAAUGUUGCUCUCAAGAUCAAUGCUAAGGUAUCUGUUUUGCCUCACUGGUGGUGAUUUGAUAUAGUGGUUUCUUGUCUUGCUAUCUUCUUUUAAAUCAUUUGAGAAUUGUAAAUUCUGUAGGUUGGGGGGAGAAAUACUGUGCUGAACGAUGCUGUUUUAAGGAGAAUUCCGCUUGUGACUGAUGUCCCUACAAUCAUUUUUGGGGCAGAUGUCACUCAUCCGCCGCCUGGCGAAGACUCUAGUUCUUCUAUAGCUGCAGUAAGCAUAUUCAUUAUUCUCUAUCAUCCCCAUUUUGUUACUUGAUCAUAUUUAAGAGGUUAUUGGCUGGCUGCAGGUCGUUGCUUCAAUGGAUUGGCCUGAGGUAACCAAGUAUCGUGGAAUUGUCUCUGCACAGACUCACCGGGUGGAAAUAAUCGAGGAUCUUUAUAAACAAACUAGGGAUCCACAGAAGGGUUUAGUUGAGGGUGGAAUGGUUAGGUAGGGAGAGAUUUAUUCCAGGCUUAAAUUUUUAGUUUCUUCUGGAAGUGCUCUACUUUCUUAACAUUUCAAGUUCUCUGCAGGGAAUUGCUUCUUGCUUUCUACAGGUCAACGAAACAAAAGCCUUCUAGAAUUAUCUUCUAUAGGUAAUGUUUGCUUUUGACCAUCCGAAUCUAUGUAUAUAUUUCUAGCAGCAGUGCUGAUAUCUGAUUUUUGAUGUGUGGCAGAGAUGGUGUUAGUGAAGGACAAUUCAGCCAAGUUUUGCUUUAUGAAAUGGAUGCGAUUCGGAAGGUAUUGAAAUUACUGUAUAAUGUCUAUUAUAGUUGGUUCACUGUAUAAUGGAUGCAAUGUUUUUUGGUGUUUGGGCCUUCUGACCCCUGCAGUUUUCUUACUUCCAGGCUUGUUCCUCGCUACAGGAAGGAUAUAUGCCUCGGGUUACAUUUGUUGUGGUUCAAAAGAGGCAUCAUACUCGCUUAUUCCCUACUGAUCGCAACAAAACUGAUAGGAGUGGCAACAUAUUACCAGGUGAUUCUAAUCUUAUAAUAGGGAUUUGAUCGUAUUCUCUUGAUCUUCAUUUUGUUAGCAUAUUUUAAUGUAGCCAAUAACUUUUAGGUACUGUUGUGGAUACUAGCAUCUGUCAUCCAACUGAGUUUGAUUUUUAUCUCAAUAGUCAUGCUGGAAUCCAGGUAAAAUGAGGCCUUCCCUUGAAGUGUGAUGGUUUUUAUGUUAAUUUUGUCCGAUCUGAUAUUGAUAUUGAUGUUUUUGUGUAGGGGACAAGCAAGCCCACACAUUACCACGUUUUGUUGGAUGAAAAUGGCUUCACUGCUGACAUCUUGCAAGUGCUCACAAACAAUUUAUGUUACACGUAUGUGUUUGCUCCUUUCUCUAUAAUGUUGAAAUGGGGUGAAUAAAUAAUGCUUUAGAUCAGCACUAGCAAUUAUAUAGUAAUAAUUUUACUUUGUGGAUAGGUAUGCGAGGUGUACCAAGUCCGUUUCCAUAGGUUUGUGAUGAUGUUUUUUUGUCUUGUUAAAUUUGUUGACUAAGGUUGGUUUUGACAGUGAAUAUUUGGAUUAUAUGUUUGCAGUUCCUCCGGCAUACUAUGCUCACCUCGCUGCUUAUAGGGCACGUUGUUAUAUUGAGGAUGAGAUGUCGGAUAGUGGGUCUACUGGUGGAGGCCGAAAGCCGAAAGACAAGGUUGUAGAGGUUAGGCCGCUGCCCAGCAUAAAGGAUAAUGUGAAGGAAGUGAUGUUCUACGUCUGAUUAAUUAUGUUUGGUUGAUUGUGGGAAGUUGCGCAAGUAUAGUUGCACAGUUUGUGGAUGAUGGUGGAGUCUUAUUGAUUCCAUUGGUGGACUUAGUAAUCAUCUAAUUUUGGAGUUUUUGUUUUGGUGGUUGAGCUACUUGUUGUGUGAAGUUUGAAUUAUUAUAAAUCACACACUGUUUGUGGAUUACGAAAAUUUCAUAAAUGUCCUUUAUUUUUAAGACACAUUCUUAGAAAGGAGUUUUGGUAUCAUUCUUAAGCUUCUUUUAUAUCACCAAUUAAUACAAGAGAUGAUGAAAUUUUAGAGAAUAAUGUCUUUUUAUAAAGAGUUUUUAAAUGUUCAGAACACAAAUUGUAAGAUAUGCUCGGAUAUCCUCACUGCAUCUCCUUGCAACUCCAAUGAAUAAAAAAGCAAUCCUAAUCAAUUUUCUUUUUAAUUUACCAUUUUAAUAAACAUAGUAAAUACAAUUUUAUUAACUUAUUAAUUAAUUUUAUAAAUUUACAUAUUUUUAAUUCAUAAAAGUGUGAUAAUUUUAAAAACUUUUAUUAUAUAUAAUUUUUAAUCUAAUGUUUUCAAUAGUUAUAUUUUAUUAUUAUCUCACCGUUACAAUUACGUUUGAAAUUAAAUAUACAUCUCACCACUGUUUCUAUUCUCAUUGCUAUUGCUGUUUUUAACUUUACCGAAGAUAAAUGUAUCGUCCAUCCCAAUUAAACCUUAGUCCAUUUAUAGUGUUUUUUUUACUUCGUUAAAGCUGGACAAACUAUGCCAUUAAAAUUUUAAUAGCUUAAGUUUAGAUUGAAUGAGCGAUGCGUUUACUUUCGGUGAGAUUAAAAACAACAAUGGUAGUUAGAUUAGUUACUGUAGCGAUGAAAUUAGAUACUGUAGUAGUGAUAUUAGAAAUAGCGGUACGGUGUGUGUUUAGAUUCAAACGCAACUAUAAUAAUGAGUUGAGAAUAAAAAAUGACUAUUAAAGACAUUAGAUUUAUGAGUUCUCUCUCAUUUCAUCUUUUUUUCCCCUCAAAUUCUGUUAUGAAUAAAAAAUCUUCUUUAAAUAUCAAAGGAAAAGCUCUCAUUUAAUCCUCUCAUCUGAUUGUAUGAAAACGGUUUUGUUCAUUCAUCAGCUAUUCUGCUCUAUCAUUGCUUUUAUCUGUUUCAUUUUUUUCCAAUCUAAAACUAAAAAACAAACACCAUCUUUUCCAUUCAUGAUGACACAGAAGGUGAAGAAAAUUAUAAAUUUUGAUUCAUCAAUGGGUAUGGGUGGUUAACCAAAAUAGAGAAGAUAAAAAAGAAAAAGUAAUGUUGAAAAUAAAAGUCAUUUUCCUUUUUUUAAAAAUAUGGAUGAUUGAUAAUUUUAAAAAUAAUUUUCAAAAAAAUAAUUUUCAUUAUUUUCACCAAAAUGUUUUGUAGAAUUAAAAAAGACGAGAACAAGAGUUUUUUAAUUUUAAAUGAACGAGUUCACAAUGGGUUCAAAUCCAUAUAAACACAAAAAAAUAUUUAUUUUUCAAUAGUUUUUUUUUCUAAUAUUGAAUUCGGUACCCUGAUUUGAAUCCAUAUAAAUACGAAAUUUAUUUUAUUUUAUUAAAACAUGUUUUUAUUUCUAUUUAUCAAAUUUAAAAAAAUAGAAAAUGAAAAUCAUGUUUCUAUUUACCAAAUAUUUCACAAAUUAAACUGACUUUAAUUGUUUAGAAAAAAGAAAAAAAAUUCUAUUAUUUUCUAGUGAAGUAGAAAUUAGGAAAGGGAAGGGAUGCUUGCUAUGGAAAUUGUGGAUGGAAAAAAGGAAGUUGUCAAUAAAGAAAAAAAAAAAAAUUUUGGUAUUUUUUUAUGUCUGUUUUAUUGUUUAUGUUUGGGGUUCGUGGUAGUUCUUCUCAACAAGGUCAUCUUCAAUGUUUAAAUCUAUGUCUCAAAUUAAGAAUACAAUGUGCCUUACCAUUACACCCAACACUUGUUGGUAAAAAAAAAAGUGUAAAAUUUAUAUGAUAUUUUAAAAACAUAUAGAUAAUUUAAUGGUAAAAUUAUAAUUUUAUUUUUUUGAAGGAUAAUGCUAAUAUUGUAAUUAUAUUUAUUAUUGUAAUUUUACAUAAAAAUUAAACUAAUUAACUUGUAACAUCAACUAAGUUAAAUAUUUCUUUAAGUAUUAAAUUGUGUUACAAACAUGAUGUCAAUGUAAAAAAUAUAUUAAUAAAUAGGUGAAAUGAGGUUUUGGUUGAAAUGAUUAAUUUGAACCUGAUUUCUUAAGUUUAACUAACUCAACGACAUUAUUUUUUGAAAGAACUCGAUCAAGAUUGCUUUUUCCGUAGUUACUUUUCCUUAAAAAAACCCAAGGGAAAGUUUAACUGUUAAUGAUUUGGUUGACUGAGUUGGGCUUUUUGUUAUUUAUUGUCUCGUUAAAUUUUAUUUUCAUUGGAUUUUAAUGUGUAUUUUCCUUUUCUGUUUUCUUAUUUAUUUACUUGUCUCUUUGUCCAUCUCUGUUACUUUCAUCUUUUUCUCGUCUCUUUUGAUGGCCUUUGGUGCUUCAUUGCUUAUAGGUUACUAUAACGCCUGAGGUAACCGCAAAAAAGGUUAACAGAGCAAUAAUGAAGCAACUUAUUGAUGUAUACAAAGAGUCGCAUCUUGGACGUCGGUGUCCAGCUUAUGAUGGCAGGAAGAGUUUGUACACUGCUGGUCCUCUUCCCUUCGAGUCAGGAGCUUGUUAUCAAGCUACCUGAGGAAGAUCGCAGUGCUGGUUCGUCUAGGCCUGCGCUGUAAUAUUAUUGUAUCCUAUGAUGGUCUCUUGACAUUUUACAUUAUAUCCGAUGUCAUAAUUGCUUACCUGUGAUCUUUCUGGUUGCCUGUCACUGCAGGAAGGAGCGACAAUUUAAGGUUGCAAUCAAACUGGCCUCCAAGCCAGACCUUCAUUAUCUCAGGGAGUUUUUGAGCAGAAAGCAUUUUGAAUGUCCUCAAGAAGCUAUUCAAGUUCUGGAUGUUGUUCUUAGAGCUAAACCAUCUCAGAUGUAACUGCCUGUUGAUUAAUGUUAAACAUUGCUGGCUAUUAAAUUGUUGAAACCAUUUUAUAUGACAUCAAAUUAAUACAUUUGAAACAUCAUUUGGCAGAUAUACUGAGGUGGGAAGGUCUUUUUUCCAUACAUCAUUAGGUCCUAGAGGAGAACUUGGUAAUGGAAUAGAAUACUGGUCUGGAUAUUAUCAGAGUCUUCGACCCACUCAGAUGGGUUUAUCUCUUAAUAUUGGUAGGUACUUUGAUUGCUCAGUUUGUGUAGCCACUUUGUUCCUAAUGUUUCAGUAUGAAGAUUUACUGGUUUUGCUUUGCAGAUGUGUCUGCUCGAUCAUUCUAUGAGCCAAUUUUAGUUUCAGAGUUUGUUGUGAAACAUUUCCGACGAUCAAACCUGUCAAAGCCGCUGUCUGAUCAAGAUCGUAUUAAAGUAUGUAUAUAUUGAAUUCAGUGUUUAUUAAUCAAAACUUGCAGAAUAUUUUUGGAAUGCUUCUUUUGCCGUUUUUGUUAGCUGAAAAAGGCCUUGAAGGGAGUAAGAGUUAGGCUCAUCUACAUGGAUUAUGCCAAAACUUGCAAGAUUAUUGGAGUAUCUAGAGACCCUAUAAGCCAGUUGACGUGAGUUUCUUGUUAUAAUACUAUACCUGCUCAUAAAUAUUUUUAGUAAGCUACUUUUAUGUGGCCUGUGUGGUAGAAUUGUUUUUGGGUUAUUUGUAGUCUUGUAUUCACUCCUUAUCUAAGUUACAUCUUAAAAUUGAGUUGGUUUUAUUUUUAUUUUUUGCAGUUGACAGUUUUUAGUAUUUGGCUUGGUUAUGUCUUGUUCUAAAAUAUUGUUUAUGCUUAUACAUUUGUAAAAUCUUGUGCUUAUGGUACAUUUGUACCAUUCUGUCUCAUUAUGUUUCUGUUCAAUUUUUGGCUGUUUUAGAUUUCCUCUUGAUGAUAAGAGAACAAAUGUCUCUGUGGUCAAGUAUUUCCGUGAGAAAUACAAUGUUGUGCUUAAAUAUCCAUCCUUGCCUGCACUUCAAAGUGGAACUGAAGCUAGACCUGUCUACCUGCCAAUGGAGGUUUUUACUUUAUAUCAAGAUGAUCUUGUUUUUGUUUUCUUUUUGUUUGUUACUGAUUCUCCUGUAUGAUUUUGUUUUACAGCUUUAUAGUAUCGUUGAGGGUCAAAGAUACACAAAAAAAACUAAAUGAACAACAAGUUAGAUCUCUGCUGAGAGCAACUUGUCAACGUCCGAACAUUAGGGAGGGGAAUAUUACAAAGGUACUGCAGUUUUGGAUGCUUAUUAUUUUUUAAAUUGGUUGAUAAGAUGAGAAUUUUGAUUCAUUGGCAUUUCAUAUUUCUGCAGAUGGUCCAGGUCAAUAAUUUUGAGUUGGAGGAGCUUGUUACUAAAGAAUUUGGAAUGCAUGUUCGCAAAGAACUUGCAUUGAUUAAUGCACGAGUUCUAAAUCCUCCAGUGGUACUUUUCAGCCAAUAUGUUAUAUUUUCAAGGAUACUGUCAGUCUUAUAAUACGAUUAAUGUCUGUUUUGGUUGCUGCAGCUAAAGUAUCACGAUAGUGGACGUGACAAAAUCGUUAAUCCUAGUUGCGGGCAAUGGAACAUGAUCAACAAGGUGGUAUUUUUUUUUCUUCCCCUCUUAUUCUUUGAAGUGGCAUUGUUUGUAAAAUUUAAGGAAUCAGACCUGUCUCUUCAGUCUCCUCUUGUUCCAGAGUUCUUGUUCAUUUUUUCAAUUCAUUUUUAAGGUAGCUAUAAGUCUUUUGGGAAAAUUUUGAUAGGUUUUAAGGUUCAACAGUUUUUUUUUUUGCAGAAAAUGGUCAAUGGGGGUAAAGUCGAUUUCUGGUCUUGUGUGAACUUCUCCUCGGAAUAUUGGAAUAUGUCAGAAGAGUUCUGUGCGGAGCUGGUGAAUAUGUGUAACAACAAAGCAAUGGUAUGCUGUGUGGUUUUUUUUAGUGUAGGUGGAUGGUAUAUCUGUUAUUUAUUUAUCACUAGCAUGAUUUCCCAUUUUGAGAUUCUAGGUGUUUUGCCAAACUCCUUCAAUUGCAAUGCGAUCAGCUCGUGCUGACCGAAUUGAUCAGAUUCUCAUGGAUGUAUACAAAGAGUCUGCAGGCUUGAAAAAGCCACUUCAGUUGUUGAUAAUUAUCUUACCUGAUCAGACUGGCUCUUAGGGUAAGAAAUUCUGAUGUUUUGUAAAUAGGUAAUUCCUGGGGUUUCUUUGCGCGACUCAAAUCUUUUUGCUUGCAGGAAAAAUAAAGCGAAUUUGUGAGACGGAGCUAGGUAUUGUUUCACAAUGUUGUAAGCCUGUGCAAGCUGCAAAGUUUAGCAACCAAUAUUUUGAAAAUGUUGCUCUCAAGAUCAAUGCUAAGGUAUGUGUUUUGCCUCACUGGUGGUGAUUUGAUAUAGUGUUUUCUUGUCUUGUUAUCUUAAUUCAUUUGAGAAUUGUAAAUUCUGUAGGUUGGGGGGCGAAAUACUCUGCUGAACGAUGCUAUUUUAAGGAGAAUUCCGCUUGUGACUGAUGUCCCUACAAUCAUUUUUGGGGCAGAUGUCACUCAUCCGCCGCCUGGCGAAGACUAUUCUAUAGCUGCAGUAAGCAUAUUCAUUGUUCUCUACAUCCCCAUUUUGUUACUUGAUCAUAUUUAAGAGGUUAUUGGCUGGAUGCAGGUCGUUGCUUCAAUGGAUUGGCCUGAGGUAACCAAGUAUCGUGGAAUUGUCUCUGCACAGACUCGCCGGAUGGAAAUAAUCCAGGAUCUUUAUAAACAAACAAAGGAUCCACAGAAGGGUUUAGUUGAGGGUGGAAUGGUUAGGUAGGGAGAUAGAUUUAUUUCGGGCUUAAUUUUUUAGUUUCUUCUGGACGUGCUCUACUUUCUUAACAUUUCAAGUUCUCUGCAGGGAAUUGCUUGUUGCUUUCUUCAAGUCGACAAGACAAAAGCCUUCUAGAAUUAUCUUCUAUAGGUAAUGUUUGCUUUUGACCAUCCAAAUAUAUGUAUAUAUUUCUAGCAGCAGUGCUGAUAUCUGAUUUUUGAUGUGGCAGAGGUGGUGUUAGUGAAGGACAAUUCAGCCAAGUUUUGCUUUAUGAAAUGGAUGCGAUUCGGAAGGUAUUGAAAUCACUGUAUAAUGUCUAUUAUAGUUGGUUCACUGUAUAAUGGAUGCUUCUGACCCCUGCAGUUUUCUUCCUUCCAGGCUUGUUCCUCGCUACAGGAAGGAUAUAUGCCUCGGGUUACAUUUGUUGUGGUUCAAAAGAGGCAUCAUACUCGCUUAUUCCCUACUGAUCGCAACAAAACUGAUAGGAGUGGCAACAUAUUACCAGGUGAUUCUAAUCUUAUAAUAGGGAUUUGAUCGUAUUCUCUUGAUCUUCAUUUUGUUAGCAUAUUUUAAUGUAGCCAAUAAAUUUUAGGUACUGUUGUGGAUACUAGCAUCUGUCAUCCAACUGAGUUUGAUUUUUAUCUCAAUAGUCAUGCUGGAAUCCAGGUUAAAUGAGGCUUCCCUUGAAGUGUGAUGGUUUUUAUGUUAAAUUUGUCCGAUCUGAUACUGAUGUUGUUGUGUAGGGGACAAGCAAGGCCACACGUUACCACGGUUUGUUUGAUGAAAAUGGCUUCAGUGCUGACAUCUUGCAAGUGCUCACAAACAGUUUAUGUUACACGUAUGUGUUUACUCCUUUCUCUAAAAUCCUGAAAUGGGGUGAAUAAAUAAUGCUUUAGAUCAGCACUAGUAAUUAUAUAGUAAUAAUUUUACUUUGUGGAUAGGUAUGCGAGGUGUACCAAGUCCGUUUCCAUAGGUUUGUGAUGAUGUUUUUUUGUCUUGUUAAAUUUGUUAACUUAAGGUUGGUUUUGACGGUGAAUAUUUGAAUUAUAUGUUUGCAGUGCCUCCGGCAUACUAUGCUCACCUCGCUGCUUAUAGGGCACGCUAUUAUAUUGAGGAUGAGAUGUCGGAUAGUGGGUCUACUGGUGGAGGCCGAAAGCCGAAAGACAAGGUUGUAGAGUUUAGGGCGCUCCCCAGCAUAAAGGAUAAUGUGAAGGAAGUAAUGUUCUAUGUCUGAUAAAUUAUGUUUGGUUGGUGGAAAGUUGCGCAAGUAUAGUUGCACAGUUUGUGGAUGAUGGUGGAGUCUUGUUGAUUCCAUUGGUGGACUUUGUAAUUAUUUAAUUUUGGAGUUUCUGUUUUGGUGGUUGAGCGAAUUGUCGUCUGAAGUUUGGAUUACUAUAAUGCACACACUAUUUGUGGAUUACGAAAAUUUCAGAAAUGUCCUGUAUUUUCAAGACAAGUUCUUAGAAAGGAUUUUUAGUAUCAUUUUUAAGCUUCUUUUAGAUCACUGAUUAAUACAAGUGAUGAUGAAAUUUUAAAGAAUAAUGUCUUUUUACUAGAGUUUUUACAUGUUCAGAACACAAAUGAUAAGGUACGUUCGGAAAUCCUCCCUGCACCUCCCUGCAACUCCAAUUUUCUACCGGAGUUUAAGCUCCAAUGAAAAUAAAAGCAACCCUAAUUAAAUUUGUUUUUUUUUUAUUUAAAAUUUUAAUAAAUAUAAUAAAUACAAUUUUAAUAUUUUAUUAAAUAUUUUUAUAAAUUUACAUAUUUUUAAUAAUUUCAUAAAAGUUAGAAACUUUUAUUAUAUAUAAUUUUUAAUCUAAUGCUUUCAAUAGUUAUAUUCCAUUAUCACCUCACCGUUACAACUACGUUUGAAAUCAAAUACACGCUUCAUCAUUGUUUUUAUUCUCAAUGCUAUUGUUGUUUUUAAUCUUACCGAAGAUAAAUGCAUUAUCCAUUCCAAUUAAAUCUCAGUCCACUUAUAGUGUUUUUUACUUUGUUAAAGGAGGACAAACCAUGCAAAGUUUUAAUAGUUUAAGCUUAGUUUAGAUGAGCGGUGCGUUUACUUUCAGUGAGAUUAAAAACAACAAUGAUAGUGAGAUUAGUUACUAUGGCGAUGAAAUUAGAUAUUGUAGUAGUGAGAUUAAAAAUUGCGGUAGGGUGUGUGUUUGGAUUCAAAUGCAACUAUAACGAUGAGUUGAGAAUAGAAAAUGACUAUUAAAGACAUUAGUUUUACGAGUUCUCUCUCAUUUCAUUUUUUCCCCUCAAAUUCUGUUGAUGAAUAAAAAAUCUUCUUAAAAUGUCAAAGGAAAACCUCUCAUUUAAUCCUCUCAUCUGAUUGUAUGAAAAUAGUUUUGUUCAUUCAUCAGCUAUUCUGCUCUAUAAUUGCUUUUAUCUGUUUUAUUUUUUUUCAAUCUAAAACUAAAAAACAAGCACCAUCUUUUCCAUUCAUGAUGACACAGAAGGUAAAGAAAAUUAUAAAUUUUAAUUCAUCAAUGGGUAUGGGUGAUUAACCAAAAUAGAGAAGAUAAAAAAAAAGGUAAUGUUUAAAAUAAGUCAUUUUCCUUUUUUAGAAAAAUGGAUGAUUGAUAAUUUUAAAAAUAAUUUUCGUUAUUUUCACCACAGUGUUUUGUAGAAUUAGAAAAGACGACAGCAAGAGUUUUUUAAUUUUAAAUGAACGAAUUCACAUUGGUUCAAAUCCAUAUAAACACAAAAAAUAUUUAUUUUUCAACCAUUUUUUUCUAAUAUUGAUUUCGGUACCCUAUUCGGAUCCAUAUAAAUAUAAAAUUUAUUUUAUUUUAUUAAAAUAAAAACAUGUUUUUUAUUUCUAUUUACCAAAUAUUUCAUAAAUUAAACUGACUUCUAUUAUUUUCUGGUGAAGUAGAAAUUAGGAUAGGGAAGGGAAUGCUUGCUAUGGAAAUUGGCAUGGAAAAAAAAGAAGUUAUAGUUAAUAAAGAAAAAAAAAGAUUAUCUAUUUUGGUAUUGUUUAUAUCCGUUUUACUGUUUAUAUUUAGGGUUCGUGAUUGUUAUUCUCAACAAUGUCAUCUCUAAGAUUUAAAUCAGUCUUAAAUUAAGAAUAUAAUGUGCCUUACAAGUACAUCCAACACUUGUUGAUAAAUAAAUUAAUAAAUAGUGUAAAAUUUAUAUGAUAUUUUAAAAACAUAUAUAUAAUUCAAUGGUAAAAUUUUAAUUUUAUUUUUUGAAAGAUAAUGCUAAUAUUGUAAUUAUAUUUAUUAUUUAUUAUUGUAAAUUUACAUAAAAAAAUUAUCUAAUUAACUUGUAACAUAAGCUAAGUUAAAUGUUUUUUUAAGUAUUACAUUAUGUUACAAACAUGACGACAAUGUAAAAGAUUAUGUAAAAAAUAUAUUAAUAAAAAGGUUGAAAUGAUUAAUUUGAACCUUAUACACUAACUCAAUGAAAUUCUUUUUUGAAAGAACUCGAUCAAGAAUUUAAAUAAUAAUAUAUAUGUGUAAAUAUAAGUUGCCAUGCAAAUUUGAGUUAACUGUACUAAAUGUCUCCAUAUUAUAAUCUUCAUUUUAAAUUAGUCCCUGAACUUCAAAUCAUUCUACUUACAUCUUUAAACUAUCGAUGUUAUAUCAAUUGGGUCAAUUUGUUACUAAAAUUAUUAAUUUAACUAUUAAAUGACACACUAAAUUUUAUAAAAACAAUGAUUAUUGUAAAAAUAAAUGUUUUAAAAAUAUUAAUUUUGAUAUUUUUAAAGCUUUCACAAAAGUUUUAUCAUUCAUUCUUUUUAUUUUUUGUUCUUACUUUUUUAAAUUUUGCAAUAACAUUUUACUUUUUUUAAAAUUGAUUUUAAAUUUCACUGUAUAAAAUUUUACAAAAAGACUUAUCCUCUAUUGGUUACUUAAAAGUAAAACAAACUGACACAAAAUUCAAAAGAAAAAAAAAGGAGCGUAUAAAGUAACAAAUGCAAGAAGGCUAGUACAAAUUAACAAAGCUUCUUGGAGAAGAAUUGACUUGAAAUAAUCCAGUGUGCUUCUAGUAUAAAAUGGGCUCAUUCAUUCCUAGUCGCUCUCUAUACUCAGGUGUGUCGUUUGUUUCAUUUUUUUUCCCUUCUGUUUUGGAGUUUUUGAAAUUUUCAUCUGUUUGCUUAGUUUCCCAAAUUUCAGCCAAUGUCUGGUCGAGGCGGUGGUGGACGUGGCAGUGGUCGGGGUGGUGGUCGACGUGGCCGGGGGCAGGACCGUGGUCGCGGCCAACCUUCACAGUCUUCCUCUCGCGGCGGCGGCGGUAGAGCAAGAGGCCGUGGAUCAUCUGGUUCUACUGCAACUUAUAACCCCCCUCCUCCUCAGAUGGCCCCGGCUCAGCCGCCUCCUCAAAUGGCUGUAGCUCCGCCAGUUCCUCCAUCGGGGGCUGCUUUUUCUCAUCCUUCUUCAAGUUCUGGUGUAGGAUCACUUUCCAGAGAGGUAUCGGAGAAGCUUACAAUGGAGCCGGUGGCUGUGACUACGGCGCCUCCUCUUCCUCAGUCGUCGUCAAAGGCGAUUAGGUUCCCUCCAAGACCGGGGUUCGGCACGGUCGGUACAAAGUGUGUGGUUAGGGCCAACCAUUUUCUCGUAGAUGUUGCUAAUGCCGAUCUUCAUCACUACGAUGUAACUUUCUUUCUCGCAUGUCUCCCUAUUUGAUUUGAAGCCUGUAUUUUUUCUCGACAUUUUUGGCUUGUUGUUCUAAUCGGUUUUUUUUCUAUAUUUGUUAUUUUUCUCUUUCUUUUUUGCUUGUAUAUGUCUGCUUCCUUCCUUUCGACCUAUCUAUGGAUUUAAGUUUUCAGUAAUUACUUUGAAAAACCGAGGGAAACCUUAACUGUUAAUGGCUUGCUUAAACGAAUUCCACUUGUUUAGAUCAUAUUUUUUGAAUUCUAAUGUUUUCAUGUUUCUGUUCGCUUAUUCAUUUACCUUGUUCAUCCCUGAUACUUGCAUUUUCUUCUCCAAUAUUUUAAUCGCUAGUUUUCCUUGUCAUUUUUCUGCCUUGUUUUAAUCGUUUUAUAUUUUGGUACUUCUUAGAGCUCUGUUUUUUAUCCGACUUUACUAUACACUGAAGGUUUUAGUAGUUACUUUUCCUUAAAAAAACCCAAGGGAAAGUUUGACUGUUAAUGAUUUGCUUGACUGAGUUGGGCUUUUUGUUAUUUAUUGUCUCGUUAAAUUUUAUUUUCAUUGGAUUUUAAUGUGUAUUUUCCUUUUCUGUUUUCUUAUUUAUUUACUUGUCUCUUUGUCCAUAUCUGUUACUUGCAUCUUCUUCUCGUCUCUUUUGAUGGCCUUUGGUGCUUCAUUGCUUAUAGGUUACUAUAAAGCCCGAGGUAACCUCAAAAAAGCUUAACAGAGCCAUAAUGAAGCAACUUAUUGAUGUAUACGAAGAGUCGCAUCUUGGACGUCGGUGUCCAGCUUAUGAUGGCAGGAAGAGUUUGUACACUGCUGGUCCUCUUCCCUUCGAGUCAAAGGAGCUUGUUAUCAAGCUAACUGAGGAAGAUUGGUAAUAUUAUUGUAUCCUAUGAUGGUCUCUUGACAUUUUACAUUUUAUCCGAUGUCAUUAUUGUUUACCUGUGAUCUUUCUGGUUGCCUGUCAUUGCAGGAGGGAGCGACAAUUUAAGGUUGCAAUCAAACUGGCCUCCAAGCCAGACCUUCAUUAUCUGAGGGAGUUUUUGAGCGGAAGGCAUUUUGAAUUCCCUCAAGAAGCUAUUCAAGUUCUGGAUGUUGUUCUUAGAGCUAAACCAUCUCAGAUGUAACUGCCUGUUGAUUAAUGUUAAACAUUGUUUGCUGUUAAAUUGUUGAAACCAUUUUAUAUGACAUCAAAUUAAUACAUUUGAAACAUCAUUUGGCAGAUAUACUGAGGUGGGAAGGUCUUUUUUCCAUACAUCAUUAGGUCCUAGAGGAGAACUUGGUAAUGGAAUAGAAUACUGGUGUGGAUAUUAUCAGUGUCUUCGACCCACUCAGAUGGGUUUAUCUCUUAUUAUUGGUAGGUACUUUGAUUGCUCAGUUUGUGUAGCCACCUUGUUCCUAAUGUUUCAGUAUGAAGAUUUACUGGUUUUGCUUUGCAGAUGCGUCUGCUCGAUCAUUCUAUGAGCCAAUUUUAGUUUCAGAGAUUGUUGUGAAACAUUUCCGGCUAUCAAACCUGUCAAAGCCGCUGUCUGAUCAAGAUCGUAUUAAAGUAUGUAUAUAUUGAAUUCAGUGUUUAUUAAUCAAAACUUGCAGAAUUUUUUUGCAAUGCUUCUAUUGCCGUAUUUUUUAGGUGAAAAAGGCCUUGAUGGGAGUAAGAGUUAGGCUCAUCUGCAUGAAUUAUGCCAAAACUUGCAAGAUUAUUGGAGUAUCUAGAGACCCUAUAAGCCAGUUGACGUGAGUUUGUUGUUAUAAUACUAUACGUGCUUAUAAAUAUUUUUAGUAAUCUACUUUUAUGUGUCCUGUGUGGUAGAAUUGCUUUUGGGUUAUUUGUAGUCUUGUAUUCACUACUUAUCUGAGUUCCAUCUUCAAAUUGAGUUGGUUUUAUUUUAUUUUUUGCAGUUGACGGUUUUUAGUAUUUGGCUUGGUUAUGUCUUGUUCUAAAAUAUUUUUUAUGCUUGUACAUUUGUAAAAUCUUGUGCUUUUGGUAUAUUUGUCCCAUUCUGUCUCAUUAUGUUUCUGUUCAAUUUUUGGCUUUUUUAGAUUUACUCUUGAUGAUAAGAGAACAAAUGUCUCCGUGGUCAAGUAUUUCCGUGAUAAAUACAAUGUUGUGCUUAAAUAUCCAUCUUUGCCUGCACUUCAAAGGGGAAGUGAAGCUAGACCUGUCUACCUGCCAAUGGAGGUUUUUACUUUAUAUCAAGAUUAUCUUGUUUUUGUUUUUUUUUUUUUUGUUACUGAUUCUCCUGUAUGAUUUUGUUUUACAGCUUUGUAGUAUCGUUGAGGGUCAAAGAUACACAAAAAAACUAAAUGAACAACAAGUUAGAUCUCUGCUGAGAGCAACUUGUCAACGUCCGAACAUUAGGG